This 460-nucleotide ribosomal RNA is filed under the name uncultured bacterium. Its description in RNAcentral is "partial 16S ribosomal RNA". It matches the Rfam family "Bacterial small subunit ribosomal RNA", at positions 338 to 795 of the family's 1533-position model. The record is from RNAcentral.
CCUACGGGAGGCAGCAGUGAGGAAUAUUGGUCAAUGGACGAGAGUCUGAACCAGCCAAGUAGCGUGAAGGAUGACUGCCCUAUGGGUUGUACACUUCUUUUAUAUGGGAAUAAAAUGUUUCACGUGUGGGAUUUUGUAUGUACCAUAUGAAUACGGAUCGGCUAACUCCGUGCCAGCAGCCGCGGUAAUACGGAGGAUCCGAGCGUUGUCCGGAUUUAUUGGGGUUAAAGGGAGCGUAGAUGGGUUGUUAAGUCAGUUGUGAACGUUUGCGGCUCAACCGUAAAAUUGCAAUUGAUACUGGCAGCCUUGAGUACAGUUGAGGUAGGCGGAAUUCGUGGUGUAGCGGUGAAAUGCUUAGAUAUCACGAAGAACUCCGAUUGCGAAGGCAGCCUACUAAACUGCCACUGACAUUGAUGCUCGAAAGUGUGGGUAUCAAACAGGAUUAGAUACCCCUGUAGUC